GCCUGGGUGGCUCAGUCGGUUGAGCUUCUGACUUUGGCUCAGGUCAUGAUCGCACAGUCUGUGGGUUUAAGCCCCGCGUCGGGCU
Molecule: transfer RNA, 85 nt
Organism: Felis catus (domestic cat)
Lineage: Eukaryota; Metazoa; Chordata; Mammalia; Carnivora; Felidae
Rfam family: tRNA
About the family: Transfer RNA (tRNA) molecules are approximately 80 nucleotides in length. Their secondary structure includes four short double-helical elements and three loops (D, anti-codon, and T loops). Further hydrogen bonds mediate the characteristic L-shaped molecular structure. tRNAs have two regions of fundamental functional importance: the anti-codon, which is responsible for specific mRNA codon recognition, and the 3' end, to which the tRNAs corresponding amino acid is attached (by aminoacyl-tRNA synthetases). tRNAs cope with the degeneracy of the genetic code in two manners: having more than one tRNA (with a specific anti-codon) for a particular amino acid; and 'wobble' base-pairing, i.e. permitting non-standard base-pairing at the 3rd anti-codon position.
Source: Rfam